GACGAACGCUGGCGGCGUGCUUAACACAUGCAAGUCGAACGCUGAAGCUCAGCUUUUGUUGGGUGGAUGAGUGGCGAACGGGUGAGUAACACGUGAGUAACCUGCCUCCUUCUUUGGGAUAACGCCCGGAAACGGGUGCUAAUACUGGAUAUUCACUGGUCUUCGCAUGGGGGUUGGUGGAAAGGGUUUUUCUGGUGGGGGAUGGGCUCGCGGCCUAUCAGCUUGUUGGUGGGGUGAUGGCCUACCAAGGCUUUGACGGGUAGCCGGCCUGAGAGGGUGAACGGUCAAAUGGGGACUGAGAUACGGCCCAGACUCGUACGGGAGGCAGCAGUGGGGAAUAUUGCACAAUGGGGGCAAGCGUGAUGCAGCGACGCCGCGUGAGGGAUGGAGGCCGUCGGGUUGUGAAACUCUUUCGCUCAUGGUCAAGCCGCAACAAUGGUUGUGGUGAGGGUAGUGGGUAAAGAAGCGCCGGCUAACUACGUG
RNAcentral lists this ribosomal RNA (483 nucleotides) under uncultured bacterium. RNAcentral's name for it is "partial 16S ribosomal RNA". It matches the Rfam family "Bacterial small subunit ribosomal RNA", at positions 28 to 507 of the family's 1533-position model. The record is from RNAcentral.